RNAcentral lists this ribosomal RNA (253 nucleotides) under uncultured bacterium. RNAcentral describes it as "partial 16S ribosomal RNA". It matches the Rfam family "Bacterial small subunit ribosomal RNA", at positions 524 to 776 of the family's 1533-position model. The record is from RNAcentral.
UACGUAGGGGGCAAGCGUUGUCCGGAAUCAUUGGGCGUAAAGCGCGUGUAGGCGGUCCGGUAAGUCGGCUGUGAAAGUCCAGGGCUCAACCCUGGGAUGCCGGUCGAUACUGCCGGACUAGAGUUCGGAAGAGGCGAGUGGAAUUCCCGGUGUAGCGGUGAAAUGCGCAGAUAUCCGGAGGAACACCGGUGGCGAAGGCGGCUUCCUGGACCGACACUGACGCUGAGGCGCGAAAGCUAGGGGAGCAAACGGG